UACGUAGGGUCCGAGCGUUGUCCGGAAUUAUUGGGCGUAAAGAGCUCGUAGGCGGCUUGUCGCGUCGUUCGUGAAAACUCACAGCUCAACUGUGAGCUUGCGGUCGAUACGGGCAGGCUAGAGUUCGGUAGGGGAGACUGGAAUUCCUGGUGUAGCGGUGAAAUGCGCAGAUAUCUGGAGGAACACCGGUGGCGAAGGCGGCGUUCUGGACUGCUACUGACACUGAGGAACGAAAGCCAGGGGAGCAAACGGG
Molecule: ribosomal RNA, 253 nt
Filed under: uncultured bacterium
Lineage: Bacteria
Description: partial 16S ribosomal RNA
Rfam family: Bacterial small subunit ribosomal RNA
Source: RNAcentral